This 406-nucleotide ribosomal RNA is filed under the name uncultured bacterium. Its description in RNAcentral is "partial 16S ribosomal RNA". It matches the Rfam family "Bacterial small subunit ribosomal RNA", at positions 30 to 526 of the family's 1533-position model. The record is from RNAcentral.
AUUGAACGCUGGCGGCAGGCCUAACACAUGCAAGUCGAGCGAGAGGCGGACGGGUGAGAAAUGUAUGGGGAUCUGCCUGAUGGAGGGGUAUAACUACGGGAAACGGUAGCUAAUACCGCACACCAUCAGAUGAACCCAUAUUGGAUUAGCUUGUAGGUAAGGUAACGGCUUACCUAGGCGACGAUCCCUAGCUGGUCUGAGAGGAUGAUCAGCCACACUGGGACUGAGACACGGCCCAGACUCCUACGGGAGGCAGCAGUGGGGAAUAUUGCACAAUGGGCGCAAGCCUGAUGCAGCCAUGCCGCGUGUAUGAAGAAGGCCUUCGGGUUGUAAAGUACUUUCAGUAGGGAGGCGUUACCGACAGAAGAAGCACCGGCUAACUCCGUGCCAGCAGCCGCGGUAAUUC